Molecule: ribosomal RNA, 1445 nt
Filed under: uncultured bacterium
Lineage: Bacteria
Description: bacterial SSU rRNA
Rfam family: Bacterial small subunit ribosomal RNA
Source: RNAcentral
AGAGUUUGAUCCUGGCUCAGGAUGAACGCUGGCGGCGUGCUUAACACAUGCAAGUCGAACGAACCUUCGGGUUAGUGGCGGACGGGUGAGUAACGCGUGAGAAUCUGCCCUCAGGAGGGGGAUAACAGUUGGAAACGACUGCUAAUACCCCAUAUGCCGGGAGGUGAAAUGAAUUUCGCCUGGGGAUGAGCUCGCGUCUGAUUAGCUUGUUGGUGGGGUAAUAGCCUACCAAGGCUUCGAUCAGUAGCUGGUCUGAGAGGACGAUCAGCCACACUGGGACUGAGACACGGCCCAGACUCCUACGGGAGGCAGCAGUGGGGAAUUUUCCGCAAUGGGCGAAAGCCUGACGGAGCAACGCCGCGUGAGGGAUGGAGGCCUUUGGGCUGUAAACCUCUUUUCUCAAGGAAGAAGAUCUGACGGUACUUGAGGAAUAAGCCACGGCUAAUUCCGUGCCAGCAGCCGCGGUAAUACGGGAGUGGCAAGCGUUAUCCGGAAUUAUUGGGCGUAAAGCGUCCGCAGGCGGCCGUUUAAGUCUGUUGUUAAAUCGUGGAGCUCAACUCCAUCACGGCAAUGGAAACUGUUCGGCUUGAGUAUGGUAGGGGCAGAGGGAAUUUCCGGUGUAGCGGUGAAAUGCGUAGAUAUCGGGAAGAACACCAGUGGCGAAAGCGCUCUGCUGGGCCAUUACUGACGCUCAUGGACGAAAGCCAGGGGAGCGAAAGGGAUUAGAUACCCCUGUAGUCCUGGCCGUAAACGAUGAACACUAGAUGUUGGGGGAAUCGACCCCCUCGGUGUCGUAGCUAACGCGUUAAGUGUUCCGCCUGGGGAGUACGCACGCAAGUGUGAAACUCAAAGGAAUUGACGGGGGCCCGCACAAGCGGUGGAGUAUGUGGUUUAAUUCGAUGCAACGCGAAGAACCUUACCAAGGCUUGACAUCCUGCGAAUCUCUAAGAAAUUAGAGAGUGCCUUCGGGAACGCAGUGACAGGUGGUGCAUGGCUGUCGUCAGCUCGUGUCGUGAGAUGUUGGGUUAAGUCCCGCAACGAGCGCAACCCACGUUUUUAGUUGCCAGCAUUCAGUUGGGCACUCUAGAAAGACUGCCGGUGACAAACCGGAGGAAGGUGUGGACGACGUCAAGUCAUCAUGCCCCUUACGCCUUGGGCUACACACGUACUACAAUGCUGCGGACAAAGAGUAGCGAUCUUGCGAAAGUUAGCUAAUCCCAUAAACCGUGGCUCAGUUCAGAUCGUAGGCUGCAACUCGCCUACGUGAAGGAGGAAUCGCUAGUAAUCGCAGGUCAGCAUACUGCGGUGAAUACGUUCCCGGGCCUUGUACACACCGCCCGUCACACCAUGGAAGUUGGCCAUGCCCGAAGUCGUUACUCUAACCUUUUGGAAGAGGGCGCCGAAGGCAGGGCUAAUGACUGGGGUGAAGUCGUAACAAGGUAACC